ACUCUUCUAUUUAAAUUAUUAUUUAAGUUUACUGAGUGACGUAAAGUGACGUCCCCUCGUUGCUCUAACCGACGUUCAGAAGAAUCCAUUCAACAUGGCGGAUAAUCGCAAGCGACCGAGCAAACUUAAUGGAACAACUUGCUGAGCUGGAUGCUGAAUACAAAAGUGAGCCUCAAAACUUAAGGUUUGUGCUGAGCUUCACCAUAUCAGAGAAAGUGGCGCACACCAGCAAGAUUUCAC
Long non-coding RNA from Sinocyclocheilus anshuiensis, 240 nucleotides. RefSeq lists it as uncharacterized. The record is from RefSeq and is a predicted model, not a curated record. Lineage: Eukaryota; Metazoa; Chordata; Actinopteri; Cypriniformes; Cyprinidae. The transcript is spliced from 3 exons.